This is a non-coding RNA of Elaeis guineensis (African oil palm), 1042 nucleotides long. NCBI's taxonomy places the organism in Eukaryota, Viridiplantae, Streptophyta, Magnoliopsida, Arecales, Arecaceae. The record is from RefSeq and is a predicted model, not a curated record.
UUUUUCUUCUUCUUUUUUUUUUUUUCUUUUUCCAUCUUUCUUUCUUUCUUUUUGGUUUAUAGUGAUGCAAACCCCAUUGUGAAUAAUCUCCUAGUUCCUAGUCUAGCUUGGUAAUACAUCCUAUAAAUGUUGUUAUGUUCUAUCUACUUAUAUAUUAAUAGAGUACCUAUAUAGCUUUUAUUGUUUUCCUUUGUCUUUAGUGAAUGUGCCUCUUGGUUUUGAUCAAUGCUGUUUGUUAAUGAAUUGCUUCUGAUGAGUUGUGUUGUCUAUCCAUUUCAUAUAAAAGAUUCAUGCAUGGGUGAUGCACCACCUGGUUGGUCUCUUUGGACAAGCACAUGGGAUGUUGGUGUAGCAGGGUAAAACAACUUUUGGAUCCCAACGUUGGAGUCUCUAAUCAUGGUAGAGGCCAUUAUUUUUCAGCAAAGAUUAAGAUCAGAUCCUAACCCGUCGACAUCAAAGCUGUAAAAGAUAUUGGACGGUGGUGGUUGCACCAAUGAACCUACAACAGACUACCAGACAGUUGAAAAUUGUGUACCGAAGACUUCCCUGAGAAGCACCACAGAAUUAAGAGGUCACUCCAUGACUCGAGCUAUGUAUUAUUUGCUCAAUCAGGCGUGAAGAAGGCUUUCCCUUGAUAUUUCUGAAAGACGACUCAAGUCCUGACUGCAUUUUGAGUGCAAACACUAGGCUGCAAGAAGCUCAUAACAUGACAAGUACAAUUAUGACCAAGUGUCAUUCUAGGGCAAGAGUAAUCCAAGCAGUCACCUUGGUAAAUGUAGGGAAUUUUCAAGAGUUUGUUGAUUUGUUCUAGUGUCAACCAGUUUUGAAUUUUCUGUUUCAGCAUUUAAUAGAAGUUGGUGCUCAAUCUUGGCUAAAUUCCAUAUGUAAGGAUCAUUAUUUGGCAACUACGGCUGACGAUCCACAAGUGGUCACAAGAAUUCAGCUCCAAAUGAGUCCUAGUCAACUUGUUCACCUAAUAUUUGUAUGUGAAACAUGAGUAGAAUAAUUCAUUAUAAAAUUGCUAAGAUAUCAAUCAGAUGUA